This 465-nucleotide ribosomal RNA is filed under the name uncultured bacterium. RNAcentral describes it as "partial 16S ribosomal RNA". It matches the Rfam family "Bacterial small subunit ribosomal RNA", at positions 28 to 507 of the family's 1533-position model. The record is from RNAcentral.
GAUGAACGCUGGCGGCGUGCUUAACACAUGCAAGUCGAACGGAAAGGCUCCUGCUUGCAGGGGUACUCGAGUGGCGAACGGGUGAGUAACACGUGGGUGAUCUGCCCUGCACUUCGGGAUAAGCCUGGGAAACUGGGUCUAAUACCGGAUAGGACGAUGGUUUGGAUGCCAUUGUGGAAAGUUUUUCGGUGUGGGAUGAGCUCGCGGCCUAUCAGCUUGUUGGUGGGGUAAUGGCCUACCAAGGCGUCGACGGGUAGCCGGCCUGAGAGGGUGUACGGCCACAUUGGGACUGAGAUACGGCCCAGACUCCUACGGGAGGCAGCAGUGGGGAAUAUUGCACAAUGGGCGCAAGCCUGAUGCAGCGACGCCGCGUGGGGGAUGGCGGCCUUCGGGUUGUAAACUCCUUUCGCUAGGGACGAAGCGCAAGUGACGGUACCUGGAGAAGAAGCACCGGCUAACUACGUG